RNAcentral lists this ribosomal RNA (444 nucleotides) under uncultured bacterium. Its description in RNAcentral is "bacterial SSU rRNA". It matches the Rfam family "Bacterial small subunit ribosomal RNA", at positions 338 to 795 of the family's 1533-position model. The record is from RNAcentral.
CCUACGGGGGGCUGCAGUGGGGAAUAUUGGGCAAUGGAGGAAACUCUUACCCAGCAAUGCCGCGUGAGCGAAGAAGGUCUUCGGAUUGUAAAGCUCUUUGAUUGGGGACGAAGUAAGUGACGGUACCCAAGGAACAAGCCCCGGCUAACUAUGUGCCAGCAGCCGCGGUAAUACAUAGGGGGCGAGCGUUGUCCGGAAUUACUGGGCGUAAAGGGUGUGUAGGCGGUUUUUUAAGUUAGAAGUGUAAUACCCAGGGCUUAACUCGGGUGCUGCUUCUAAAACUGGAAGACUUGAGUGUAGGAGAGGAGAAUGGAAUUCCUAGUGUAGCGGUGGAAUGCAUAGAUAUUAGGAGGAACGCCGGAGGCGAAAGCGAUUCUCUGGACUACAACUGACGCUGAGGCACGAAAGCGUGGGGAGCAAACAGGCUUAGAUACCCUUGUAGUC